AGAUAGAGAGUCCGUUAAGGCCGUAGUCUGUUGUGCAUUGUAAUUUGUGCUGAAUACAGCUGGUGGCUGUUUGCUUUGUGUCAGAUCACCUGUAUAUAUUUGCCACGUAGUGUUUCGUGUCACCGCUUAGACGUACUGUGUCUCUGUGAUGUGUCACUGUAUUAUGGGGGCCGAGCAUGCACAGCCUAAUCUGAUCCUCAUCUUUUUCCGGUCUUUUCGUCGGUCUGAAUCCUACAAUUUCAGUCUUUGUUGUUUUCUCUAUGUUUACAUGCUUAUCUUAAUCAGUUUUUUUAUUUAUUUGUACAUUGGCACUGCUUGCAGGUUUAUGACGAAGGCACUAAAAUGAGAUUACAAGCAAGCAGGGUGAUGAUUGGGAAGAUAAAUAGCUAGCUUUCGACUCAUUUGGGAGCAGUAAUUCGAUCAAGGAUUGGCUGCUGGGGACGAUAAGAAGGUAGAAUUACUGGUUAUUUCGAUCGUAUCAUACUCAAACAUCCGUAUAAUUCCAAAAAGCAUAACAAUCGCAAUAGAGAAAUUCUUGGAAGCAAUUUGGGGACCAUUUGGGUGUCAAAUUAAUUAUCAAUGACAAAUAGACAAGGAGGUUCUCAUCAAUCAAUGAAUUGAAUGCCAAAACAAAUUUGAUUAACAUACAUGGGAUGGGAGCUAGAUCGAAGUGAGCCCUAAUAAAAUGAGGAAUAUCUGUAUGGAUCCCAUUCCCAUAAUAUAUUAUAUAUGUACGACAGCUGGUAAUUAAUGGUAUUGGUG
Long non-coding RNA from Rosa rugosa (rugosa rose), 762 nucleotides. RefSeq lists it as uncharacterized. The transcript is spliced from 2 exons. The record is from RefSeq and is a predicted model, not a curated record. Lineage: Eukaryota; Viridiplantae; Streptophyta; Magnoliopsida; Rosales; Rosaceae.